Molecule: long non-coding RNA, 262 nt
Filed under: Elaeis guineensis (African oil palm)
Lineage: Eukaryota; Viridiplantae; Streptophyta; Magnoliopsida; Arecales; Arecaceae
Description: long non-coding RNA (EGUI_LNC030645)
Source: RNAcentral
UCCAGUAUAUCCAUUCCCCAAAUUGCAAAGGGUCAAGGGAUAGUAAUAAAAAUGAGCUCAACAGCAGGUUGAUGUUGGAUGUUAGCAUACCUUUGGUAUUGAUCGCAAUUGUUGACAAGAUCAGCAGUAUCUUUUUGGAUAGUUGGCCAGUAAUAGUCUUAUCGAAUUACUUUAUAAGUGAUCUAUUCCUCAAAUGAUUUUCAUAUAUUCCUUCAUGCACUUCUCGAAGUGCAUAAUCAGCUUUAGACAGUGUCAUGCACCG